CUACCUUCCGCGUCCCCAAGUCAGGCGU
This 28-nucleotide ribosomal RNA is filed under the name Torreya californica. RNAcentral describes it as "partial 26S ribosomal RNA". Lineage: Eukaryota; Viridiplantae; Streptophyta; Pinopsida; Cupressales; Taxaceae. The record is from RNAcentral.